AUUGAACGCUGGCGGCAGGCCUAACACAUGCAAGUCGAACGGUAACAGGGAUCAGCUUGCUGAUUCGCUGACGAGUGGCGGACGGGUGAGUAAUGUCUGGGAAACUGCCUGAUGGAGGGGGAUAACUACUGGAAACGGUAGCUAAUACCGCAUAACGUCGCAAGACCAAAGAGGGGGACCUUCGGGCCUCUUGCCAUCGGAUGUGCCCAGAUGGGAUUAGCUAGUAGGUGGGGUAACGGCUCACCUAGGCGACGAUCCCUAGCUGGUCUGAGAGGAUGACCAGCCACACUGGAACUGAGACACGGUCCAGACUCCUACGGGAGGCAGCAGUGGGGAAUAUUGCGCAAAGGGCGCAAGCCUGAUGCAGCCAUGCCGCGUGUAUGAAGAAGGCCUUCGGGUUGUAAAGUACUUUCAGCGGGGAGGAAGGGAGUAAAGUUAAUACCUUUGCUCAUUGACGUUACCCGCAGAAGAAGCACCGGCUAACUCCGUG
This 490-nucleotide ribosomal RNA is filed under the name uncultured bacterium. RNAcentral describes it as "partial 16S ribosomal RNA". It matches the Rfam family "Bacterial small subunit ribosomal RNA", at positions 30 to 507 of the family's 1533-position model. The record is from RNAcentral.